This 459-nucleotide ribosomal RNA is filed under the name uncultured bacterium. RNAcentral's name for it is "bacterial SSU rRNA". It matches the Rfam family "Bacterial small subunit ribosomal RNA", at positions 29 to 523 of the family's 1533-position model. The record is from RNAcentral.
AGCGAACGUUAGCGGCGGGCCUAACACAUGCAAGUCGAACGCGAAAGGUCUUCGGACUGAGUAGAGUGGCGCACGGGUGAGUAACACGUAGGUAAUCUACCCUUUGGCGGGGGAUAACGUUCCGAAACGAACGCUAAUACCGCAUACGCCCGAAAGGGGAAAGAUUUAUCGGUGAUGGAUGUGCCCGCGUUGGAUUAGCUUGUUGGUGGGGUAACGGCCUACCAAGGCGAUGAUCCAUAGCUGGUCUGAGAGGACGAUCAGCCACGCUGGGACUGAGACACGGCCCAGACUCCUACGGGAGGCAGCAGCUAAGAAUAUUGGACAAUGGGGGAAACCCUGAUCCAGCCAUGCCGCGUGAAUGAAGAAGGCCUCGGUUGUAAGUUACUUUAGUUAGUGAAGAUGAUGACAGUAGCUACAGAAAAGACACCGGCGUAACUUACGUGCCAGCAGACGCGGUAA